GUGCUCUGGAGGUCUUUAUAGAUCUGUGAGUUUAUGAUUUUAUGACUAACACCUCUUCUUCAUGAUAACAGAUCCAAAAGCAAACAUGACUUUAAUAGCCGUCAUUAUUUGGACACUCACAACCUGCACCUGGAGUUCUGUGGGACAAACUCUGACUCAAUCUGAAGCUCAAACUGUUCAGCCUGAUCAGACUGUCACUAUUAACUGUAAUCAUAAACCAGCAAUAAACUGUAUUAAAACAAAAGGCUCUGAUCAGUAUUGCAUGUCCUGGUACCAUCAGAUUCCUGGAGAAGUUCCUAAACUCCUGAUCUAUGCCACAUCAGACAGAGCUUCAGGUGUUUCUUCUAGAUUUAGUGGCAGUGAAAGUGGAAACCACAUGGAUUUUACUCUGACUAUCAGUGGAGUCCAGCCUGAAGAUUCAGGAGUUUAUUACUGUCAGAGUGAACAUUAUUUGACCAGCACGAACUCAGUGUUCACACAGUGUAAAAUCAUCAUACAAAAACCCUUUUUGGCUGAGACUUCAGCGCUGCAGCUUUGAGCUUCUGCAGAUGUUGAUGCUGAAGAUCAUUAUUCACCUCACUGACUUUACACACAUAAACAUUUUAAGGCUGGAGAACUGUUAAUGUUCAUUAGUCACAAACUCAACACAUUCAGUAUAUAUUUGAUCAAUAAUAAACAUAAAAAUGCUCAAUCGUAUUUCCACUUGAAUUAUAAUACAAUAAAGGAAGAAAGCUCACUGUGGCAUAAGAUUUCAUAUGUUUAAUAUAUUUCACCUCUAAAUUGACUUAAAUUGAAAAACUUCUUGAUGAGAAAUGAAUUCUGUUCCAUAUAUGAAUAUGAAUUAUGAAUAUGAAUUCCAUAUUCUGUGUCUGAAUCCACAUUUGUCUGCCUUCUCUGUCCAAAAUUACAAGACACCAUCCCUACAGUAUUAUUAUAUAUAUAUGUGAAGUUUAAUUGGACUCUUAUGAAUUAUCAACAUCAACAUCAAAAUAAAAAAUUAAUAAAGAUGAUAGUAAAUUAUUAUUAUUAUUUUUAAAUCUUUUUAAUUUCAGGUAAAUAUCUUAGAAUACUAAUACUUCCACAUAAGAGAUACACACUUAAUGAUUCAAAAAGCUUUUAUUUGGCAAAAAUUGUUGUUUAAUAUCACAAUCAAUAUAUGUGUAAAUGUGUAUGAAAACACAGGAUUCAAGAAAAAUUAACUUAUAGAGCAAAUUGUAAAACAAUGCUGACAAACCUUAAUGAACAAUGUGUGUAUGUGUGAGUAAAUAAAUGAUUAUGCAUGCCUAUAAUCUCUGUGUGAUGUGUGUGUGUUUCACUGGUCAUCACACUGCUGUGUGUUCAGGCUCUCGGUCACUGCAUUCUGGGAUGGGGAGUUUCAUUCUUCUUAAAAACAGCUCUAUCAGUCUUUCACUUCCCUUUAAGAGAUUCAGAGUUAAUCAAGCAGAUCUGAGGUGCAACAGCCUGUAAAAACACAUUUACCAGCAAUCACACAUAUGUCUAUGCUUAAAAAAGAUUAAUCAUGCAUUAUAUUAUAUCAUAGAUCUUUAAUUUUUCAAUAAUCUAUUUUUUCAUUUGUUCAAAUUAUUAAAAGAUUUCUUUUUAC
Non-coding RNA from Megalobrama amblycephala (Wuchang bream), 1603 nucleotides. NCBI's taxonomy places the organism in Eukaryota, Metazoa, Chordata, Actinopteri, Cypriniformes, Xenocyprididae. The record is from the annotation of a RefSeq genome assembly.